GGAGUUGUAGCUCAGUAGUAGAGCACUUACCUCACAAGUGUGAGGCACUGGGUUUGAUGCUAGCAACUCAU
RNAcentral lists this transfer RNA (71 nucleotides) under Ictidomys tridecemlineatus (thirteen-lined ground squirrel). Its description in RNAcentral is "Spermophilus tridecemlineatus (thirteen-lined ground squirrel) tRNA". It matches the Rfam family "tRNA". From Rfam's summary of the family: Transfer RNA (tRNA) molecules are approximately 80 nucleotides in length. Their secondary structure includes four short double-helical elements and three loops (D, anti-codon, and T loops). The record is from Rfam by way of RNAcentral. Lineage: Eukaryota; Metazoa; Chordata; Mammalia; Rodentia; Sciuridae.